This 508-nucleotide ribosomal RNA is filed under the name uncultured bacterium. RNAcentral describes it as "partial 16S ribosomal RNA". It matches the Rfam family "Bacterial small subunit ribosomal RNA", at positions 28 to 523 of the family's 1533-position model. The record is from RNAcentral.
GAUGAACGCUAGCUACAGGCUUAACACAUGCAAGUCGAGGGGAAACGAUAUUGGAAGCUUGCUUCCGAUAGGCGUCGACCGGCGCACGGGUGAGUAACGCGUAUCCAACCUGCCCAUCACUUGGGAAUAACCUUGCGAAAGUAAGACUAAUACCCAAUGAUAUCUCUAGAAGACAUCUGAAGGAGAUUAAAGAUUUAUCGGUGAUGGAUGGGGAUGCGUCUGAUUAGCUUGUUGGCGGGGUAACGGCCCACCAAGGCGACGAUCAGUAGGGGUUCUGAGAGGAAGGUCCCCCACAUUGGAACUGAGACACGGUCCAAACUCCUACGGGAGGCAGCAGUGAGGAAUAUUGGUCAAUGGGCGAGAGCCUGAACCAGCCAAGUAGCGUGCAGGAUGACGGCCCUAUGGGUUGUAAACUGCUUUUAUAAGGGAAUAAAGUGAGCCUCGUGAGGCUUUUUGCAUGUACCUUAUGAAUAAGGACCGGCUAAUUCCGUGCCAGCCGCCGCAGUAA